UACGAAGGGGGCUAGCGUUGCUCGGAAUCACUGGGCGUAAAGGGCGCGUAGGCGGGCGAGCGAGUCCGGGGUGAAAUCUUUCGGCUUAACCGGAAAAGGGCCUCGGAUACCGGUCGUCUCGAGGGAGGUAGGGGCAGCUGGAACUUCCGGUGGAGCGGUGAAAUGCGUAGAUAUCGGGAGGAACACCUGUGGCGAAGGCGGCCCCCUGGUUGGAUACUGACGCUGAUACGCGAAAGCGUGGGGAGCAAACAGG
RNAcentral lists this ribosomal RNA (253 nucleotides) under uncultured bacterium. Its description in RNAcentral is "partial 16S ribosomal RNA". It matches the Rfam family "Bacterial small subunit ribosomal RNA", at positions 524 to 776 of the family's 1533-position model. The record is from RNAcentral.